This 68-nucleotide transfer RNA is filed under the name Trimma nasa. RNAcentral describes it as "tRNA-Ser". Lineage: Eukaryota; Metazoa; Chordata; Actinopteri; Gobiiformes; Gobiidae. The record is from RNAcentral.
GAGAGAGGCUCGCUGCGGUUAAAGGCAGCUACCCUUAAACCCCUCGGUUGGACUCCGACGCUCUUCCG